GCAGCAGUGGCCGAGUGGUUAAGGCGAUGGACUAGAAGUCCAUUCAGGUCUCCCCGCACAGGUUCGAAUCCUGUCGACUGCG
This 82-nucleotide transfer RNA is filed under the name Ixodes scapularis (black-legged tick). It matches the Rfam family "tRNA". From Rfam's summary of the family: Transfer RNA (tRNA) molecules are approximately 80 nucleotides in length. Their secondary structure includes four short double-helical elements and three loops (D, anti-codon, and T loops). Lineage: Eukaryota; Metazoa; Arthropoda; Arachnida; Ixodida; Ixodidae. The record is from Rfam by way of RNAcentral.